Solanum pennellii is the source of this 725-nucleotide long non-coding RNA. RefSeq lists it as uncharacterized. The transcript has 2 exons. The record is from RefSeq and is a predicted model, not a curated record. NCBI's taxonomy places the organism in Eukaryota, Viridiplantae, Streptophyta, Magnoliopsida, Solanales, Solanaceae.
CUUUUUAUCGUUAAACUCCUCGUUCUUCUCCUUUUCUCUUCAUUUCCUCUUUCGUCGCAGCGAUUUCUAAGGCGAGUUGAACGCAUGAAAGGAGUCCAAAACCAAAACACAAAAUGCAGUUGAGAUUUAGUACAGAAGUGAACCACGAAGGCCAUCGACGGACCGUCGUCUCAUCGACGGACCGUAGAUGGUGAUCGUCGAUUGGAAGUUCAGGCAUCUGGAGAAACUCGGAGAAAUCUGACCAAGUGUGGGCUAUGAAAGGAUCGACGAGUCCGUCAAUUGAUCGAUGUACCGUCUUGGUAAGUCAUCGAUCUGAUAAGAGAAUGUCCCAGUAUCCGAAGUUGAAGAAAAACAAAGUAUGGAACGACGGAAGGCAUUGACGGACCGUAGGUGCAUCGAGGGACCGUGUUGUUGGUCCGUCGAUUAGAUCAGAAAAGAUGCUAGUUGAAGGAUAAUAAAAGAUGUUAAGUAUGGACUUAUUGAGGGCAGUCCACGGUCCGUCGUUUCAUCCACGGACCGUCUGUGGUGGUCAUCAAUUGAAGCUGCGUUUUUUGGAAAACUUUCCUUACUUUAAUUCCUUUUAAUUUAGGACAAUAUUUUCUAUAAAUAGGGUGUAAAACCUCGUUUUUGGAGUUGGAUUCUAUUACUACUUUUCUUAGUUUGUUUUUGGAGAUUGGGUUUUAUAACUUUAGCAUUAAUUCAAUUUUUUGGAUUUAGUUUUCAAG